AUGUUAUGUUACAUUGUUUUUGGGUAUACUGAAAUUUCAUAGUUCGUAUCACUAUAAUGAUUUAGAGCCUUCUUUUUUAUUUAUUUAAAAAAAAAAUCCUUUUAUGUUGUAUUAUUGUAUGCAAUUAGGUUUUGUUUGGAUUCAAGAAAUUGUAAUUUUUGAAAAUAACAUUUUUGAUGCUCUAAUCAUGCUUUUAUUUGAUACACUUGGGAAUGACUAACAUUGAUCCUUCAUUAUUCUUUUUUUUUGAACGGCAAAGAAAGGCAAACUUUAUUGAUGAUGAUAAAAGGUACAAGAUGUACACACAAACUUCAAAACACCAACAAAGAGAAGAGGGAGAAAACAAGAUAGUCGGCAACGAGAUGCAUAGUGCCCAGCAAAGAGCAUAGAGCCCAGCAUUGCAACCAGAUGCAGACCAAACCUGCAUAGUGCCCAGCAUAACAGAAUAACUCUCACUUAGCAGAACCCAUCUCCUACUUCAGACACCCCUUUAUACAUUUCUCAAACAGACCAAACAGAGUUCUAAGAUCAGCCAACAGCAGGCUAACACAAACCAUAAAACUGAGAGGACCAAACCAGCAGUAGCAGAGGCAGCAGCAGCAAGCCAAAACAGAUCAAAACAGAGCCAGAACAGAGCCAAAAACAGACAGCAAACAGCAGCUGGGAUACUCAUUCAGCCCCUGAUCUGUUUCCACUUGAAAACUAUAUCAUCCACUGAGAAGGGGAAAUCCUUGACUGAUGCUUUGAGCCAAAGGGCAGUUCUAAUUUUGAUGAGAUCAAUCAGUCCAAAAAAAUUGGGGUGAGCCUUCAUUAUUCUUGGGAUGUGAUUUUUUUGGGUAUAGGCUAGGGUUGCCACUUCAUGCAACUUUUAUGCAACUUCAUGCAACUUUGGAAUGACUAACAGUGAUCCUUCAUUACUCCAACGCUUCUCGUCCCCCUCCCUGGGCACUAAUUGGACUUUCACACUUUAUUCGAGGAUUAUAUUAUUUCGUUUUCAGGUGUUAGAAGGACUUAAAGUGGACUUGUGGCGUAGUGGGGACUCGAUUGCAUGGACCUCUAGGACAUUCAUUUAUUUUGUUUUAGCUUGUUAUGUCGAGUUUUGUGCAUAUAUUGUGGUUGGGUUUGAUUUGGAAUUAUUUUAUUUUGUGGGCGGUUUGUGUCCCAUUUAGUAUAUAUUUUUGGAAGUUGGUUGUGGUUGGUGUUACCAUUUAGUUUGUGACAUGUCAGUGGAUUGGGUUUUGAUUUAUUUAUUUAUGGGCUAUCGUCACAUUUAUUCUUUGUGAUUUUGGGUUCAUGUUUAAGGCUUACGUGUGCCUUGGGCUUAGUCCCUGUGGGCCACGGCUGGUCAUGCCUGGAGUUGGGGUGUGACAGACUUCUAAUUCUAAAUAAGAUGUUUAGAUAUUAUGACUGAAAAAUGGGCAGUAGCUGGAAUUGAAUUUUCCCUGCAGGUUGCAGCUGGAGCCUUAAUUGCCUAAUUAGAUUGUUGUUGUUACUUUGUUGAAAGUUCAGUUCAAAAAUGGCUUAAAUAUAUGGAGUGGGAAAAUAUUACUUUUUAGGAUUGAUUUCUAGUUUUUCGUCCACUGGAUCCAGAGACAGAACUAUGCUAUGGCUUGGGGUGGUCAUGGCCCCCUCAGCCCUUGAUAAGCCUCUAUGUCUAUGCUUGCUAGUAACUAAGAAUUCAAAAGUUUUCAGAAUAGUGUCCCCUCCAAUAUAU
Camellia sinensis is the source of this 1714-nucleotide non-coding RNA. Lineage: Eukaryota; Viridiplantae; Streptophyta; Magnoliopsida; Ericales; Theaceae. The record is from RefSeq and is a predicted model, not a curated record.